GGCAACGGCCAAGCUUAGUGCCUUUUCCCUCACAGCACACAGAAGAGCUGGGGCUUGUGGCAGAUCCUACCCAGAAUGUCCUGAAACAUGCGGCCUCUGGAGAGUGUUCUCUCCCAGAAACAGCCAAGCAGGGCUUGGCCAGGAGGCUGCCAUUUGGGAAGAACUCCCCUGAUGUCCCACCAGAACCUCUCUGUGCAUAACUGGGUACCCAUCACCGUCUUGCUGCACUUUCUGGACUCUGAGGCGUUGUGCUGCCCUUCUUCUUCAAGAUCACAGGAGUAGCAGGAGGAAUUUGAUGAAAGGACAAAUUCAAAGCAUGGCAAGCCAAAUAUCUCGCUGCUGGCAGUCAGUGAGACGGAGCUAUCAGCUGAAGAGUGGAGAAGAGAGUGAACAUGACCUCUUGGGCAUGGCCUCUUGGAAUUGGCAUGACUUGGCAAAGGCACCAGGAGCCACAUAUCGUGUGUGCCUGUGGAAUAAAGGAGAAGGUUCAACGACUGAGCCCUUGGUUCAAUGAUUUGGAUCCCUGCCACCUUGAGCAAAGGCUCGGUCAGCUUCCUGAGCCGUCUCUUCCAGCCUUGGUGAUUCUGGGACUCUUCAGCAGAUCUGCUUCCCGCUCCUCCACACAGCAGCCCGGAGCGGUGGCCGCGGGCAGGUCCCUCGGGGAGUUCUGCCGGGCAGCUGAGCCGCAGUGCCCCGAGGAGCGCAUUCAUCCCUGCCCGGUGGGU
This is a long non-coding RNA of Ficedula albicollis (Collared flycatcher), 725 nucleotides long. RefSeq lists it as uncharacterized. The record is from RefSeq and is a predicted model, not a curated record. NCBI's taxonomy places the organism in Eukaryota, Metazoa, Chordata, Aves, Passeriformes, Muscicapidae. The transcript has 3 exons.